RNAcentral lists this long non-coding RNA (210 nucleotides) under Fukomys damarensis (Damara mole-rat). Its description in RNAcentral is "lncRNA (ENSFDAG00000024653.1)". Lineage: Eukaryota; Metazoa; Chordata; Mammalia; Rodentia; Bathyergidae. The record is from RNAcentral.
CUCAGGGACAAGCAUGAGCAGGGUGAUCCAGACAAUGGGGCCAGCAUGGUGUGUGCAUGGUGGACAGGAUGAAGCUCAGGUCCAAGGACUUCCCAGUGUCAGCCUGAGACUGGCUGGGGUGAGAGGAUUUGCCUGAACUCCACCCUCCGGGAUUCUGGGCUACCCGCUGCUCUUGUCUUCUGCAUCUGAGCUUCUGCACCGCUGUGGCCA